UCCGUAGGGGGCUAGCGUUGUCCGGAAUCAUUGGGCGUAAAGCGCGUGUAGGCGGUCCGGUAAGUCCGCUGUGAAAGUCGGGGGCUCAACCCUCGAAUGCCGGUGGAUACUGUCGGGCUAGAGUGCGGAAGAGGCGAGUGGAAUUCCUGGUGUAGCGGUGAAAUGCGCAGAUAUCAGGAGGAACACCAAUUGCGAAGGCAGCUCGCUGGGACGUAACUGACGCUGAGACGCGAAAGCGUGGGGAGCAAACAGG
RNAcentral lists this ribosomal RNA (253 nucleotides) under uncultured bacterium. RNAcentral's name for it is "partial 16S ribosomal RNA". It matches the Rfam family "Bacterial small subunit ribosomal RNA", at positions 524 to 776 of the family's 1533-position model. The record is from RNAcentral.